GAUGAAGAACGAAGCGAAAUGCGAUACGUAGUGUGAAUUGCAGAAUUCAGUGAAUCAUCGAAUCUUUGAACGCACAUUGCACCUCUCGGUAUUCCGGGAGGUAUGCCUGUUCGAGCGUCAUUUGUACCCUCAAGCUCUGCUUGGUGUUGGGUGUUUGUUCCGCCUCUGUGUGUGAACUCGCCUCAAAACAAUUGGCAGCCGGCGUACUUGUUUCGGAGCGCAGCACAUUUUGCGAUCCAGAUCAACGUACAGCGGCAUCCAAGAAGCCUUAUUUAACGCUCUUGACCUCGGAUCAGGGAGGGAUACCCGCUGAACUUAAGCAUAUCAAUAAGCGGAGGA
RNAcentral lists this unclassified non-coding RNA (339 nucleotides) under soil metagenome. RNAcentral's name for it is "partial contains 5.8S ribosomal RNA, internal transcribed spacer 2, and large subunit ribosomal RNA". The stretch from base 1 to 120 matches the Rfam family "5.8S ribosomal RNA", at positions 35 to 154 of the family's 154-position model. The record is from RNAcentral.